GGAACGAGAUCCGCUGCAGUUGAGUGCCUGCAGUGGUGUCCCUGACACGUGGGCCCCACACAUGCAGGCCCACCUGUCAGUGGCCCAACUGCAGGCUGCCGAACUGCAGCGGAUCCCUUUCCUGUUUCCAUCGCCCAGUGAAAGCAG
This is a long non-coding RNA of Panicum virgatum (switchgrass), 147 nucleotides long. RefSeq lists it as uncharacterized. NCBI's taxonomy places the organism in Eukaryota, Viridiplantae, Streptophyta, Magnoliopsida, Poales, Poaceae. The transcript has 5 exons. The record is from RefSeq and is a predicted model, not a curated record.